This is a long non-coding RNA of Cercocebus atys (sooty mangabey), 6121 nucleotides long. RefSeq lists it as uncharacterized. The transcript has 3 exons. The record is from RefSeq and is a predicted model, not a curated record. Lineage: Eukaryota; Metazoa; Chordata; Mammalia; Primates; Cercopithecidae.
UAUAGGCAUGAGCCACUGCACCCGGCAUAUCGACCACCACCCUGAUCAGUCAGUCAGUAGUCAUCAAUACCAAGGCAAGACCCUCUAUAAGCAAAAGAUUAUCACUCACUAAAGACUCAUGAGCAUUAGCAUUUUUUAGCAAUAAAGUAUUUUUAAAUUAGGAUUUGUAUAUUUUUAAACAUAAUAUUAUUGCACAUUUAACAGACUAUAGUGUAGACAUAACUGUUUAUGUGCACUAAGAAACCAAAAAAUUUGUGUCAUUCCCUUUUUUGUGAUACUCUAUUGCAAUGGUGUGGAACUGAACCUACAAUAUCUCUGAGGUAUGCCUAUACAUAAUUAUAUACUAUUUUAUAUUGGUUUUGAGUCAUUUCAUGCAUGUAAAUUUGAGUGUCUUAAUUAAAUUGCAAUACCUUUAAAGUCAAAGACUGAGUCUUCUUUGGACUGUGUAUUCUCAUGACAGUGAACUAUUGACAUGGCUCAAGACGUUGACCCGUUUUGGUUCCUGAUGAAGUUUUGUUAAUUUAAAUGAGAAAAAUAAGGACAGUGAAAAACAGAGCUCUUAAAAAGCACUGUCUGGAUAUCUUCAGAGGGAAAAAGGAGAAAGUUAAUUGAAUCGGUGACACUUCAGAUCUCUCACAGAGGAAGAUUAGAUGAAGGUGACCUUCCCCUUCGCCAAGCGGAAUCUCCCAUGAGACUCAUGAAUCCUCUUUAGGCCAAUUACAGCUAUCACUUGUUAACUAUUGGAGUACCUUCAGUCUUAAAAGAGCUGCUAGAAAAUUAAGGCUGCAACAUGAAAGAAGAGCAAAUGGUCAGGCAUAUCACACGUUUUUAUCAAGUGAUUUGGUUUAGGACUUGAUAACCUGGUUAGUACUUGAGCACUGAGAGACAUUUUGAAUUUAAAGUAAGAUGGAGAAAGUGAAGGAAGCUAAAUUACAGAAGAUAGAAACACAAUCAAUCAUAUUCAGAACAGAAACAUCUUGGGCUUGAUGUCUGGGAACAAUGAGAAGAUUAGGCUGCUUUAGAACUUAGCUCUCAUUUGUUGUGGUGACCUCCACCUGCAAGAGGACACUCUCCCAUCCCCGUGAGACUGAGGUGAGAAUCACAAGACCACUGCCCUCUGUCUCAUCUUUUCUCCAAGCCUUAGGCCAUCAUGGGAUUCACUAACAUCAUUCACACGUCAGGAAUGAUAUAUCAGAGUGAUCCCCUCUUUCCUGCUCAUCUUUCUGCCUCUAGAAAAGACAGAAUUUCACUGUUUACCUCAGGAAACAUGAAAGUUAACGAUAAAUAUAAAUGAUAGAUGAAGCAAACAUUGAAAGCUAUAAAGUUGAAAGUAGGACCUAAUACCCUGUGGUAAUGUGUGCUCCUUUUUAAAAGAAAACACACAUGAGUCAUUUUAGAAAGGUUAAUUUGCGCUACCUCUCCAAAAUAUUCUCAGAAUAAUUGCAGAGAAAAAUUGUGACAAAACACUAGAGGCACCAUUGGUGAAAGAAAACUGUAUAUUCUUAUCUUUCAAUCAGGAAAGAAUAAUAUUUACUUGAUUGAAAUGAUUUUUUUCCUCAGAAACUGUAGUACUGGCUAUUAGAAAACAGAUAAUUUAAACUAUCAUUUCUCAGAAUGUUUUAUCUCCAUGACUCAAAGAUAGUUUCCCUCCGUGAGGAAAUAUCGCAGUGUUUGUUUUUGAGUUGUCAUCAAUACAAAGCAGCAGUACCUUCACAUAUACUGUGUUUCCAGCUUUUCAAAGCAUUUUCACUUGUUUCUCAAUUGUUUAUUACAAUAAUAACCCUGUGUUGACAUUAUUAUCUUCAUUUUACAAACGAGGCAGCUCAGAUUCAGACAUUAAGGGACCUUCACAAUAUAUUUAGCUGAUGGUGGCAGAACCAAGGCAAAACCCAAAGUCCUUGCCAAAGACCACUUCCAUUUGUCUUCAACGGACUCCCUGAGUUUUUCAUUGUUGUUCUUCUGUGGUAUGGCUGAAGCCCUCCAAAUUUGGAAAAGACAAGCAAGUACAAGAUAGGCACUUAGAUUAUCAUUCCUCAACUGGCUUCUCCACAGGCUUUUCCUCCUAAUAUAUAAAAAACAGCAAUAAAGGACAGAAGACUAACAUUUUAAACACUGAACUGUUGCUCAAAUUUACUCCUCCUGUAUAAUAUAAUUUGUUCUUAUAAGGUUGUAAAACUGCACUGCCUACUUAAAUUGCAUGUUUCACAUGUCUAUACUAUUCAGCUCCUUUUCUCAUCUCUGCAGUGCCUACCCCCAACAUACUACUGGCUAAACAAUUCCCAUGAAACAGUGUUUGAAUUUAAGAGGCAGGAUUGCGAGAAACACAAAUGGCCAUCCUCUCAUAUAUGUGCUUCUAUCACAGAAAUUUGAUUGUUCUCUAAAGGCAAGCAUGGAUUUUUUUUUUUCUUCCAGCAGCUUCAAGGUAAUUAUCUACUUAACCUGCAUAGUAGCAGUUGUUGGGGCUCAGAAAACCUGAAAAUGUACCAUUUUGGUAUGCUAAUUAUUUAAACUGAGGGCACUUGGGAAACAGCAAAUACAGGAAAGGGCUCUCUCUGAACUCCCUUAAGUGCCUGAAGAUAGGGCCUCCAAAAAGUAACACAAUUGUCAUAGGUAUCCUCCCUGGGAGUCUCAUCAGUGAAGGAAGAUUAAUUCACAGGAGACUCCAUCCUCCAGAAAGACUUUGUCACAAACUAUCCAUCACCUCUUCUUCCGAUGAGAUUCUUGGAGACAAUGUUUAUUACCUGAGAGAUGUUAUCUGUAUAACAAGACAACCUUUGUUCUCCAUGCAUUCCCUCCUCUUACUCCCCUGCAACUUGUAGAGACACCACCCCCCAUAAACCACCAACCCCUACUUCUAUCUUUAGCUCGGGAUUCUAUAAAAACUUCUAUCAUCUGGCCCCUCUUCAAGUCCUCUACUUUGUGGGACUCCUAUGUGUAAUUAAAAUAGCUUUUCUCCUACUAAACUGUCUACUGUCAGUUUAUUUCGUAGAUUCAAUUAUUGAACCUUCAGAGGAUAGAAAAUUUUCUCUCCCCUACACAAUUAUAAGAGUAAUUUGGAAUUUUACUUGUUGUUUUAUAUCAUUAGUUAUCUUUAUUUAUAUACACGCAUAUGUCCUCUCACUUUAUCACUCCAAAUGAAGUGAUAUGCACAUAUAUAUAUAAAAUACAUAUUUCAUAUUUCUAUGUCCUGUUUUCCCUCCAUCCCUUGCAUUUUGCCUUGUGUAUUGUUAGUGUUCAAAUAAAUAUUUGUUAAACAAAAAGGAAAUGAAAGAAUGAAAAGUUCUACAAACCUAUCAAUAGUAAACAAUAGUGGCUGUACUUUUCUUUCAGAGAAACAAGUCAACAGUUUUCAAACAAAAUCAGUCUUGGUGAUAUUUCCUAAUGACUUAGCAGUCAACAAUUCCCAGCUCAAAAAAUUAAAAAAAGAUAAAACAAUACAUUACCUUUAUCGUUAUGAAUGUCUUCAAAAAUAAUUUGUUCAUUAUAAAUUUAGUUAUGAUUUAAUUGUUUUGUGAAACCAUUGGGAAUAUAUUUCAUUUUGUUUCUUGUUCUUGUAGGGAAGAAAAACUAAUUUUCUCUGUACUCUGUAGUUCUUAACUGCAAUUCCUGGUAACAAAAGACAAAUCAACAAGCAGAAGUUUAUUAAAAUGUAUACUUAAUGUUACAUGUUACAUGGGAGAAGAUCCAGAGAAAUGAGUACAUCUGUGCAGCAAAUCUCAAAGUUUAAACUUUAGGAUAAAUGCCAUUGUUUUUUGAUACAAGAAAGAAGGAUGCAAGGAAAGACCCAGCUCAGAGGAAAUGACUAGGAAAAGUAUCUUAAACAAAGGUAAUGGGGAAUCCUAAUUAGGGAAAGGGAGUCAGGCUGGUGGGACCAAGGGAAAGCAAAAAGAAAAAGCAGAUAAGCUAUAACUCUGCCUUUCUUCGUGGUCCAGAACACAUAGCUCUCCUACACAAAUAACUCACAAUCUUCCUGUGUCCAGCUAUCACCAGACUCUGUUGAUCAAAAAAUGCAAGUUAGCUCACUGCAACCUUGACCCGUUAUCUGUGUUGCACAAAGCCCUCUUCAGCACACAGCACAAGCACCAUGCUAUAAAAUCACCAACAAGCCUUUGUCUCUUUGUAGUCAGCUCCUCUCUUGCUGAUUUGCCCGCGGCUGUCUUACAAUGUGUUUUCCUACUUUCUCUAGUAAAUCUGCCUUUCUUUACCUCCAACUGUGUUGGUAAAUUAUUUUAACCACCCAUCUGGCACCGGCCCCAGAUAGUCACCAUCUGCAACAGAUAAGGAUGAUUAUGCAAAUUUAAGUCAAUACCUUUUCCAUUUUGUUUAAGAGUCAUUAGUGAUUUAGUGUCCUUUUCUUCCUGAUGCAGGGAGAAAGACCCUUACAAAUAAAGUUUCCUUUUACAGUUGUAAAUUUCUCUUUCUAAAAAAGUAACUUUUUAGGGCCAAUUCUGUGUCUGGUAUUUCUCAAAAUAACUCAUUCAAAAUAAUAUGUCAAAGAUUUAGGGUGACAUAUUCUGUUCUUCUACAGUCAUAUUUUGGAGUAGUGUACUUUGAGCACUGCCAUAUUCCUGUUUAAAACUUUCCCGAGAAGUUUCACAAUCCAGAAACUGAGUUGGUAGAUUAUCCCAUGACCUAGGACUUUUUUAUGAAAACAAAAGGAAAAGGUUAAUAGUUAGAAUAAACUAUAACCUAGUCUUUUAGUUUGGAGUGCAGACAGUCAAGAAAGUUUCUAAAUGUUUGCCUUAAAGCAUCUUUUGCAGUUUGAAUACCUCCAGUGAUGGCUGAGUGGCCCACAGCAACAAGCAUGAAGGUUGUCCAUACAUGAGCUGUUACGAUGAUUCAUCUGCAGUUUAUAUCAAGUAGUCCAGUUUUAGCUCACAGGGCUUUAGUAAAGGGGCAGUCUUUAUUUUUAGUGAUUCCAUGUCAGAAAGGUGGAAGAAAAUUUGAAAUGUUAGUUUUAAGAGUUUUGCAAAGUCUUAGCCAAAUAUUAGAACAAUUCAGGGUCAGUUGAAGUUUAUAGGUAGAUAGCAAAACCUCAGAGACAAUAAACAGGAGUAGAGUCUAAUAACAGGUGUACCAUAGUUUUCUAUUGGAACAUAAUUUUUCUCUCUACAGCCACCCCUACUUCUGCCAAAGAUUGUUGCAGUAAGAAUAAUUAGUUUACAAAAUAAGUCUACUGUUGUCAUGUCCUGAUUAUUUAAGUAAGUAUAGCAAGAGUAGUGAUUAACCAGAAAGGCUCUUUUUAAGUUGGCUUCACUGGAACUUUAAUAAGAAAUCUCAGAUUGGACUUUUUAAAGCAUCAUAAGACUAAGAUGCCAACCCAAGAACUUGCCAUCAGAUAUUGUAGCAGGAUAAAUUUUUUUUCCUGUCACUCCUUUUUCUGUACUCUGCCUAUUUCUGUGAAAAGAGAGAGUUAAUUAAAAAAAAAAAAGAUUGAUAUUCAGCAUAAUAACAGGCAGUCAAUAUUAGCAAGAGUAAGGGGUUUUGGUCUAAUAAAUACUAUGUUUUAAAGAAAUUAAGAGUUCAAAGCCUCACUUGAAGAUUUACAAUAUCAAUCUGAUGUCACCCCUCAGACUGAAGCCAGGAUAUUUGCUUAAAACCUUGAUGCCUUUGAAGAUUCCACUUCAGGAUGGAUUCAAGUACUUGGCAUUGGGUGUGGGGAUAAACAGAGGAUAGAAAAAGUAUAAAGAACCUUGGAAAGAGAGAGGAAGACCAGAGGGAGAGAGAACAAUGUGCAUGUACUCAUCUGGGAACCAAUAUUGUGUAGUGGUUAAUGUCAGCUUCUCUGGAAUCAGAUGGCCAAGGUUAAAAUCAGCCACCUUGUUAAAUGAGGAAUAUAAUAGUCAUAACAUCAAAUAAUUAUUUUAAGGGUAUAAACUUUCCCAAGAAGUUUCACAAUCCAGAAACUGAGUUGGUGGAUUAUCCCAUGACCCAGGCCAUUUUUAUGAAAACAAAAGGAAAAGGUUAAUAGUUAGAAUAAAUUAUAACCUAGUUUUUUAGUUUGGAGGGCAGCCAGUCAAGAAAGCCUUAAACAUCUUUUUCAGUUUGAAUACCUCCCCUGCUAGUAAAGAUUUAUUUUAUUAGCAGUGUGAGAACAGACUAAUACAGUUAAUUGGUACUG